This 207-nucleotide long non-coding RNA is filed under the name Elaeis guineensis (African oil palm). RNAcentral's name for it is "long non-coding RNA (EGUI_LNC026783)". Lineage: Eukaryota; Viridiplantae; Streptophyta; Magnoliopsida; Arecales; Arecaceae. The record is from RNAcentral.
AGGCUGCCAAGAUGGAGAAGAGGGCAGAGGCCUCCACCGAAGCUUUGAGGAAAGUGAAAGUUGAACUAGUUUUCGAGAGGGAGAGGCGACAGGAGAUGGCCUCGAAAGCUGUCGAGGCUGAGAGGAGGGCAGACGAGUGGGUUGCCAAGGCCGGCCGUCUUACAGUGGAGGCAUUCAAAAUUUUUGAGGAAUUCAAAGAUAUGAAGG